GCGAGGGUGGCGGAACUGGUAGACGCGCCGGAUUUAGGUUCCGGUAGGCAACCCCUGUGCAGGUUCGAGUCCUGUCCCUCGUA
RNAcentral lists this transfer RNA (83 nucleotides) under Myxococcales bacterium. RNAcentral's name for it is "tRNA-Leu". It matches the Rfam family "tRNA". From Rfam's summary of the family: Transfer RNA (tRNA) molecules are approximately 80 nucleotides in length. Lineage: Bacteria; Pseudomonadati; Myxococcota; Myxococcia; Myxococcales. The record is from RNAcentral.